This 235-nucleotide ribosomal RNA is filed under the name uncultured Glomus. Its description in RNAcentral is "partial 18S ribosomal RNA". It matches the Rfam family "Eukaryotic small subunit ribosomal RNA", at positions 569 to 809 of the family's 1831-position model. Lineage: Eukaryota; Fungi; Glomeromycota; Glomeromycetes; Glomerales; Glomeraceae. The record is from RNAcentral.
AGCAGCCGCGGUAAUUCCAGCUCCAAUAGCGUAUAUUAGAGUUGUUGCAGUUAAAAAGCUCGUAGUUGAAUUUCGGGAUCAUCAGGUUGGUCGUGCCUCUGGUAUGUACUUUCCUCGAUGGUUCCUCCUUCUUGAAGAUCCGUAAUGUCAUUAAUUUGGUGUUGCGGGGAAUCAGGACUGUUACUUUGAAAAAAUUAGAGUGUUUAAAGCAGGCAAUCGCUUGAAUACAUUAGCA